RNAcentral lists this long non-coding RNA (229 nucleotides) under Medicago truncatula (barrel medic). Its description in RNAcentral is "long non-coding RNA (MTRU_LNC001466)". The record is from RNAcentral. Lineage: Eukaryota; Viridiplantae; Streptophyta; Magnoliopsida; Fabales; Fabaceae.
UUUUCAAAAUUGCAAACAGGUCCUUCAAAUCAAAAUUACAGGGCAGCGCCCCCUUUUUCAGUCCAAUGCCACAUGUCAGCUUUCUAAUGGUCCAAUCACUCACACAUGUCAGCUAUAAAAACAACACAGUGUCAGAUUUUCAGGAUCAGAUACACAAUCAUUGAAAUCAUCACAAACAGAUUUUUUUUCUCUCUCCAUUCAGUUACAGAUCAAAACAGAAAGUUCUCCA